GGGUAACCUGCCCAUCAAAAGGGGAUAACACUUGGAAACAGGUGCUAAUACCGUAUAACACUAUUUUCCGCAUGGAAAAAAGUUGAAAGGCGCUUUUGCGUCACUGAUGGAUGGACCCGCGGUGCAUUAGCUAGUUGGUGAGGUAACGGCUCACCAAGGCAACGAUGCAUAGCCAACCUGAGAGGGUGAUCGGCCACACUGGGACUGAAACACGGCCCAGACUCCUACGGGAGGCAGCAGUAGGGAAUCUUCGGCAAUGGACGAAAGUCUGACCGAGCAACGCCGCGUGAGUGAAAAAGGUUUUCGGAUCGUAAAACUCUGUGGUUAAAAAAAAACAAGGAUGAGAGUAAAAUGUUCACCCCUUGAGGGUAUCUAACCAGAAAGCCACGCCUAACUACGUGCCAGCAGCCGCGGGUAAUACGUAGGGUGGCAAGCGUUGUCCGGGAUUUAUUGGGGCGUAAAGCGAGCGCAGGCGGUUUCUUAAGUUCUGAUGGUGAAACCCCCCCGGUUCAACCCG
RNAcentral lists this ribosomal RNA (517 nucleotides) under Enterococcus gallinarum. RNAcentral's name for it is "partial 16S ribosomal RNA". It matches the Rfam family "Bacterial small subunit ribosomal RNA", at positions 119 to 616 of the family's 1533-position model. Lineage: Bacteria; Bacillati; Bacillota; Bacilli; Lactobacillales; Enterococcaceae. The record is from RNAcentral.